Long non-coding RNA from Pogonomyrmex barbatus (red harvester ant), 265 nucleotides. Lineage: Eukaryota; Metazoa; Arthropoda; Insecta; Hymenoptera; Formicidae. The record is from RefSeq and is a predicted model, not a curated record.
AGGGAGGAUGAGGAGGAAGAGGAGGGGGAGGAAGAGGAGAUGGAGGAACGUGAGGAAGAAUCUGAACAAAGCGAAGAGGAAAUUAGAGAAACACCGCCUGGAAUACCUCCCAGUCCUAUUCUCUACGUGAGAAGGAGCCGAUGAUAAAAGACGUUACCUCAGAAAAACAUAAGCGAACAUCGAAGAGCCGCAGCGUGGAGGAGGACUUACUGCUCAAGAAAAUUUGGAGGAGGGGGAGGUGGAGGAGGAGCAGGAAACAGCAGGC